GACGGACGCUGGCGGCGUGCUUAACACAUGCAAGUCGAACGGAAAGGCCCUGCUUUUGUGGGGUGCUCGAGUGGCGAACGGGUGAGUAACACGUGAGUAACCUGCCCUUGACUUUGGGAUAACUUCAGGAAACUGGGGCUAAUACCGGAUAGGAGCUCCUGCUGCAUGGUGGGGGUUGGAAAGUUUCGGCGGUUGGGGAUGGACUCGCGGCUUAUCAGCUUGUUGGUGGGGUAGUGGCUUACCAAGGCUUUGACGGGUAGCCGGCCUGGGAGGGUGACCGGCCACAUUGGGACUGAGAUACGACCCGGACGACUACGGGAGGCAACAGUGGGGAAUAUUGCACACUGGGCGGAAGGCAGAUGCAGCAACCCCGCGUGCGGGAGGACGGCCUUCGGGUUGGAAACCGCUUUCGCCUGUAACGAAGCGUGAGUGACGGUAAUGGGUAAAGAAGCACCGGCUAACUACGU
This 467-nucleotide ribosomal RNA is filed under the name uncultured bacterium. RNAcentral describes it as "partial 16S ribosomal RNA". It matches the Rfam family "Bacterial small subunit ribosomal RNA", at positions 28 to 506 of the family's 1533-position model. The record is from RNAcentral.